Molecule: ribosomal RNA, 367 nt
Filed under: Laotzeus sp. BMNH 846624
Lineage: Eukaryota; Metazoa; Arthropoda; Insecta; Coleoptera; Chrysomelidae
Description: partial 16S ribosomal RNA
Source: RNAcentral
UUAAAUGGCCGCGGUAUUUUGACCGUGCUAAGGUAGCAUAAUCAUUAGUUUUUUAAUUGAAAGCUAGAAUGAAGGGUAGGAUGAAAAAUUGGCUGUCUCUAUUAAAUUAAUAUGGAAUUUUAUUUUUAAGUUCAAAAGCUUAAAUAUUUUUAAAAGACGAGAAGACCCUGUAGAGUUUUAUAAAAUUGAGGCGUUUUUUAUUUAGAAAUUUAAUUUAAGAUUUUUUAUUUUUAUUUAAUUGGGGUGAUUUAAAAAUUUAACUAACUUUUUUUAUUAUGAUAUAUUAAUUUAUAGAUAAUUGAUCCAAAUAUUUUGAUUAUAAGAUAAAAUUACCUUAGGGAUAACAGCGUAAUUUUAUUAGAGAGUU